GGCCCGGUAGCUCAGCGGUAGAGCAGGAGACUUUUAAUCUCUUGGUCGUGGGUUCGAAUCCCACCCGGGUCACCC
This 75-nucleotide transfer RNA is filed under the name Candidatus Daviesbacteria bacterium RIFCSPHIGHO2_01_FULL_43_17. RNAcentral describes it as "tRNA-Lys". It matches the Rfam family "tRNA". From Rfam's summary of the family: Transfer RNA (tRNA) molecules are approximately 80 nucleotides in length. Their secondary structure includes four short double-helical elements and three loops (D, anti-codon, and T loops). Lineage: Bacteria; Candidatus Daviesiibacteriota. RNAcentral also lists the same sequence under 3 other names. The record is from RNAcentral.